This 431-nucleotide ribosomal RNA is filed under the name uncultured bacterium. Its description in RNAcentral is "bacterial SSU rRNA". It matches the Rfam family "Bacterial small subunit ribosomal RNA", at positions 608 to 1029 of the family's 1533-position model. The record is from RNAcentral.
CUCAACCGGGGAACUGCUUGGCAUACUGCUGGUCUUGAGCCCGGUAGAGGCUAUCGGAACUCUAGGUGGAGCGGUGAAAUGCGUAGAUAUCUAGAGGAACGCCAAAGGCGAAAGCAGAUAGCUGGACCGGCGCUGACGCUGAGGCACGAAAGCGUGGGUAGCGAACGGGAUUAGAUACCCCGGUAGUCCACGCCGUAAACGUUGUGCACUAGAUCGAGGGAGUUUUGACGCUGUCUCGGUCGAAGCGAAAGCGAUAAGUGCACCGCCUGGGGACUACGGUCGCAAGGCUAAAACUCAAAGGAAUUGACGGGGGCUCACACAAGCGGUGGAGCAUGUGGCUUAAUUCGAAGCAACGCGAAGAACCUUAUCCAGGGCUUGACAUGUACGGAUUAGACGCCUCGAAAGAGGGUUGACGCUUUUUAAGUGGAACG